UACGUAGGGUGCAAGCGUUGUCCGGAAUUAUUGGGCGUAAAGAGCUCGUAGGUGGCCUGUCGCGUCGGCUGUGAAAACUCGGGGCUCAACUCCGAGCUUGCAGUCGAUACGGGCAGGCUAGAGUUCGGCAGGGGAGACUGGAAUUCCUGGUGUAGCGGUGAAAUGCGUAGAGAUCCGGAGGAACACCGACGGCGUAGGCAGCGCCCUGGCUGUGAAUAAAGCUGACACUGAGGCACGAAAGCUGGGGGAGCAAACAGG
RNAcentral lists this ribosomal RNA (258 nucleotides) under uncultured bacterium. Its description in RNAcentral is "partial 16S ribosomal RNA". It matches the Rfam family "Bacterial small subunit ribosomal RNA", at positions 524 to 776 of the family's 1533-position model. The record is from RNAcentral.